AGAAAACUUAAUCUCAAUCGCAAAACAAUGUCGUUGUACUAGUAGGACAUGUUAUAGGAAUCGCUAAAAAGCAAACACAUUGAACAUGCCACAUACAAUAACCACAUAUUUUCUGGAAUGUUACUCUCAACAGAAAAUGCAGUAAUUAACAGGGUCUAAAACAGGAAAAUUACACUGCUAGAACUGCUGUUAGAUUUAAGCAAAUAAUGCAAAUUAGCAGGAGCUCCUGGUGGCUCAACCGCAUGCAAACAUGCCACGUAGGCAGCUUGGUCAACCCAACGGAUAAGGAAGAGUAGACAGGGAUAUCCACAGAAGGAGUAGAUUCGAUCCCCAAUGCACAUGACCAAGACCGGAGGGACUCCAGCCGCGCUCUUCCUCGGAGGCACCUACGGCCGGUCGUCCGCAUCACGGGCGACGGGAGGAACUCCAGCCGCGCUAUUCAUCGUCAGAGUCGUCGGGGAGGCGGAUGCCAGGCACGGCCCGAGCGCUGUUGGGCCCCAAGUUCUCUCGCGGGCAGUGCGGCUGGUCGACGGCGGGCUGCGGUUGCUCGACGCUGUGAAGGCGGAGGCCACGCGGCGCCGGCGAGUGCCAGUGUGCGGCGAGGGCGCCGCGGCGGUGCGAAGCCGGGCGAGGCCUGGUGCAGGGUGGGCGCGCGCGAGGGCGGCCUCGGCCUGGCGCAGGGGCCCGACCACGGGUGUGGCGCGGGCACGGCCAUGCGGCGGGGGCGCUUUGGCGCGACUGCAUCAACAUCGACGACUGCGGCGUCGGAGGAGCCGCUCAUGACGCGCAUGCCGAAGGGCGACCCUGUAGAGGGCCGGCGCCACUGAUCUGCGCGGAUGCGCGUUUCCGUCGCGGGACGCGAAGCCGGUGGUUCCGGUCGCCCAGUCCAGCGCGGGAUCGAGGCCAGACGCUGAUGGCAAGAUGGCGAUGAGCGCCACCACCAGUCCAGCGAAGAUGGUAAUGAAGAAUCGAAGUGACAGUUAAAGACCUAGAGAUUUGUCGUCGUGGCCGUGCACGGCGCGAAGAUGCCGAUUGGAAGCGCUUUCGCCGGGCUGAGGAAAGCGUGCUGAUAACGUGUUGAGAUGUAAACGAGAGACAAUCGAAUAAAUGAUUGGACUGUGGAUUCCAUUGAA
Molecule: long non-coding RNA, 1133 nt
Organism: Triticum urartu
Lineage: Eukaryota; Viridiplantae; Streptophyta; Magnoliopsida; Poales; Poaceae
Source: RefSeq, a predicted model, not a curated record